GUUUGAUCAUGGCUCAGGACGAACGCUGGCGGCGUGCCUAACACAUGCAAGUCGAGCGGAAAGGCCACUUCGGUGGUACUCGAGCGGCGAACGGGUGAGUAACACGUGAGUAAUCUGCCCUGUGCUUUGGGAUAGCCACCGGAAACGGUGAUUAAUACCGGAUACGACGCACCUUCGCAUGGAGUGUGUGUGGAAAGUUUUUUCGGCGCAGGAUGUGCUCGCGGCCUAUCAGCUUGUUGGUGGGGUAAUGGCCUACCAAGGCUUCGACGGGUAGCCGGCCUGAGAGGGUGACCGGCCACACUGGGACUGAGACACGGCCCAGACUCCUACGGGAGGCAGCAGUGGGGAAUAUUGGACAAUGGGCGGAAGCCUGAUCCAGCAACGCCGCGUGAGGGAUGACGGCCUUCGGGUUGUAAACCUCUUUCGCCCAUCACGAAGCGCAAGUGACGGUAGUGGGAGAAGAAGGACCGGCCAACUACGUGCCAGCAGCCGCGGUAAUACGUAGGGUCCGAGCGUUGUCCGGAAUUAUUGGGCGUAAAGGGCUCGUAGGCGGUUUGUCGCGUCGGGAGUGAAAACAGCCAGCUUAACUGGUUGCUUGCUUUCGAUACGGGCAGACUAGAGGCAUUCAGGGGAGAACGGAAUUCCUGGUGUAGCGGUGAAAUGCGCAGAUAUCAGGAGGAACACCGGUGGCGAAGGCGGUUCUCUGGGAAUGUCCUGACGCUGAGGAGCGAAAGUGUGGGGAGCGAACAGGAUUAGAUACCCUGGUAGUCCACACCGUAAACGUUGGGCGCUAGGUGUGGGAUCCAUUCCACGGGUUCCGUGCCGCAGCCAACGCAUUAAGCGCCCCGCCUGGGGAGUACGGCCGCAAGGCUAAACUCAAGGAAUUGACGGGGCCCGCACAAGCGGCGGAGCAUGCGAUUAAUUCGAUGCACGCGARAACCUUACCUGGUUUGAMUACGYCGAAAGCAUCAGAGAUGGUGCCCUUUAGUCGKGUACAGGUGGKGCAUGGCUKUCGUCAGCYUCKUGUCGKGRRRWKUUCGGGUUWAKUUCSGCUUACCGA
Molecule: ribosomal RNA, 1060 nt
Filed under: uncultured bacterium
Lineage: Bacteria
Description: bacterial SSU rRNA
Rfam family: Bacterial small subunit ribosomal RNA
Source: RNAcentral